RNAcentral lists this ribosomal RNA (301 nucleotides) under uncultured bacterium. Its description in RNAcentral is "partial 16S ribosomal RNA". It matches the Rfam family "Bacterial small subunit ribosomal RNA", at positions 509 to 807 of the family's 1533-position model. The record is from RNAcentral.
CAGUCGCCGCGGUAAUACAGAGGGUGCGAGCGUUAAUCGGAUUUACUGGGCGUAAAGCGUGCGUAGGCGGCUUCUUAAGUCGGAUGUGAAAUCCCUGAGCUUAACUUAGGAAUUGCAUUCGAUACUGGGAAGCUAGAGUAUGGGAGAGGAUGGUAGAAUUCCAGGUGUAGCGGUGAAAUGCGUAUAGAUCUGGAGGAAUACCGAUGGCGAAGGCAGCCAUCUGGCCUAAUACUGACGCUGAGGUACGAAAGCAUGGGGAGCAAACAGGAUUAGAUACCCCCGUAGUCCCUGUCUCUUAUAC